Molecule: ribosomal RNA, 266 nt
Filed under: uncultured archaeon
Lineage: Archaea
Description: partial 16S ribosomal RNA
Rfam family: Archaeal small subunit ribosomal RNA
Source: RNAcentral
ACACGACUACAUUAGAUAACCCGUGUAGUCCUAGCCGUAAACGAUACUCGCUAGGUGUCGGCCACGGUGCGACCGUUGUCGGUGCCGUAGGGAAGCCGUGAAGCGAGCCACCUGGGAAGUACGGCCGCAAGGCUGGAACUUAAAGGAAUUGGCGGGGGAGCACAACAACGGGUGGAGCUUGCGGUUUAAUUGGAUUCAACGCCGGAAAUCUUACCGGGACCGACAGCAACAUGAAGGCCAAGCUGAAGACUUUGCCGGAUUAGCUG